GACGAACGCUGGCGGCGUGCUUAACACAUGCAAGUCGAACGGAAAGGCCCUGCUUGCAGGGUACUCGAGUGGCGAACGGGUGAGUAACACGUGGGUGAUCUGCCCUGCACUUCGGGAUAAGCCUGGGAAACUGGGUCUAAUACCGGAUAGGAGCCAUUUUUAGUGUGAUGGUUGGAAAGUUUUUUCGGUGUAGGAUGAGCUCGCGGCCUAUCAGGUUGUUGGUGGGGUAAUGGCUUACCAAGGCGGCGACGGGUAGCCGGCCUGAGAGGGUGGACGGCCACAUUGGGACUGAGAUACGGCCCAGACUCCUACGGGAGGCAGCAGUGGGGAAUAUUGCACAAUGGGCGCAAGCCUGAUGCAGCGACGCCGCGUGGGGGAUGACGGCCUUCGGGUUGUAAACUCCUUUCGCUAGGGACGAAGCUUUUUGUGACGGUACCUAGAUAAGAAGCACCGGCUAACUACGUG
Molecule: ribosomal RNA, 465 nt
Filed under: uncultured bacterium
Lineage: Bacteria
Description: partial 16S ribosomal RNA
Rfam family: Bacterial small subunit ribosomal RNA
Source: RNAcentral